This 809-nucleotide unclassified non-coding RNA is filed under the name Hevea brasiliensis (rubber tree). Lineage: Eukaryota; Viridiplantae; Streptophyta; Magnoliopsida; Malpighiales; Euphorbiaceae. The record is from RNAcentral.
UGGUUUCUUUUUUUUUUUUCCCUGUAAAGUACUGUGUUCCUCAUCAGGGCUCUUCUUGAAUUGGAGAACUAGGAAUUGUUCAACUGUGAAUGUUCAAUCCACAAACAGCGGCUGAACAUCAGCUGAACUAAAAUGAGUUCACCCAAUGAACCCAAGUUACUGAGUUUCAGGAAUUAAAAUUCUCAAUAUCAUGAGUUAAAAGAUUGGAAAACAGUAGCAUAUCCUUUUCAUUGUGUUAACUUGGAAGAAAAAUAAUGGGAACAUUCAGAAAAAUGAAGCAAUACCAGCAGAUAAACAAAAACAAAUAAAACGCAGAAUAAGUGAGAAAAGCAGCACCUCAGAACACAUGCGCAUACUAGAUGAAAAUUUUCCUGUCUCCUGUUAAUAAGACCCAUUGCCAAUUACAUCAGAAACUAUGUUGCAGUUUAAGCUAUGAACAAAAAGCAUCAGAUAUGAAGAUAUUUCACUGCAAAUGUACACAGAUUGAACAGCCAAAGAAAGCACCCAACAGAUUGAACACCCAAAGAAAGCACCCAACGAUUCUCAUAUGUAGUCAAAUCUCUAAGAAAAUUUCCACGCCUCCUGAUACAGUCAUCACUGUAUCCAGUAGCUAAAAGAGAUUAUCUUUACAGACGAGAACAUAAGUUCCCAUUUCUGGAUGACACUUAUAAGAACCAAAGCUUCCCAUCAUGCAUUAAUGAUUUUGUUUUACCCCAAAUGAUGGUUGAGGUUAAAAGAAGUUCCAACUUCAAGUUCAACUCACUCAAAUCUCAUUCAUGAGGAAGAAAGAUACCAGUUGGCAAUAUAAU